Molecule: non-coding RNA, 104 nt
Filed under: Clostridium carboxidivorans
Lineage: Bacteria; Bacillati; Bacillota; Clostridia; Eubacteriales; Clostridiaceae
Also listed under: 1 other name
Description: SAM-I sequence
Rfam family: SAM riboswitch aptamer (S box leader)
About the family: The SAM riboswitch is found upstream of a number of genes which code for proteins involved in methionine or cysteine biosynthesis in Gram-positive bacteria.
Source: RNAcentral
UUCUUAUUAAGAGAGACUGAGGGACUGGCCCUUUGAUGUCCGGCAACCUGAAAUUAUGUUUCAAGGUGCUAAUUCCAGCAGAUAUUAUAUCUGAGAGAUAAGAA